UACGUAGGAUGCUAGCGUUGUCCGGAAUUACUGGGCGUAAAGCGUGCGCAGGCGGUUCGUUGUGUCUGAUGUGAAAGCCCCGGGCUCAACCUGGGAAUGGCAUUGGAAACUGGCGAGCUAGAGUGUGGCAGAGGGGGGUGGAAUUCCGCGUGUAGCAGUGAAAUGCGUAGAGAUGCGGAGGAACACCGAUGGCGAAGGCAGCCCCCUGGGCUGACACUGACGCUCAGGCACGAAAGCGUGGGGAGCAAACAGG
This 253-nucleotide ribosomal RNA is filed under the name uncultured bacterium. Its description in RNAcentral is "partial 16S ribosomal RNA". It matches the Rfam family "Bacterial small subunit ribosomal RNA", at positions 524 to 776 of the family's 1533-position model. The record is from RNAcentral.